Molecule: ribosomal RNA, 633 nt
Filed under: uncultured bacterium
Lineage: Bacteria
Description: bacterial SSU rRNA
Rfam family: Bacterial small subunit ribosomal RNA
Source: RNAcentral
GAGUUUGAUCCUGGCUCAGGAUGAACGCUGGCGGCGUGCCUAAUACAUGCAAGUCGAACGCGGGCACUUGUGCCCGAGUGGCGAACGGGUGAGUAAUACAUAAGUAACCUGGCCUUUACAGGGGGAUAACUGCUGGAAACGGCAGCUAAGACCGCAUAGGUAGGGACACUGCAUGGUGACCGUAUUAAAAGUGCUGCAAGGCACUGGUAGAGGAUGGACUUAUGGCGCAUUAGCUGGUUGGUGAGGUAACGGCUCACCAAGGCGACGAUGCGUAGCCGACCUGAGAGGGUGACCGGCCACAUUGGGACUGAGACACGGCCCAAACUCCUACGGGAGGCAGCAGUGGGGAAUAUUGCACAAUGGGGGAAACCCUGAUGCAGCGACGCCGCGUGAGUGAAGAAGUAUUUCGGUAUGUAAAGCUCUGUCAGCAGGGAAGAAAAUGACGGUACCUGACCAAGAAGCCCCGGCUAACUACGUGCCAGCAGCCGCGGUAAUACGUAGGGGGCAAGCGUUAUCCGGAUUUACUGGGUGUAAAGGGAGCGUAGACGGCAGGGCAAGUCUGGAGUGAAAGGCGGGGGCUCAACCCCCGGACUGCUCUGGAAACUGCCAGGCUGGAGUGCAGGAGAGGUAAGU